ACUUCAAGAGAUAGUGGCGGACGGGUGAGUAACGCGUGAGCAACCUACCCAUCAGAGGGGGAUAACUCUGGGAAACUGGAGCUAAUACCGCAUACGCUCUUCUCAGGGCAUCCUGAGAGGAGGAAAGGUGGCGGAAGCUGCCGCUGAUGGAUGGGCUCGCGUCCCAUUAGCUAGUUGGUGGGGUAACGGCCUACCAAGGCAACGAUGGGUAGCCGGCCUGAGAGGGUGGUCGGCCACACUGGGACUGAGACACGGCCCAGACUCCUACGGGAGGCAGCAGUGGGGAAUAUUGCGCAAUGGGCGAAAGCCUAACGCAGCGACGCCGCGUGGGUGAAGAAGGCCUUCGGGUUGUAAAGCCCUGUCACCUUGGACGAAGGACCGUGGGGUUAAUAGCCCUACGGGGUGACGGUACAAGGGGAGGAAGCCCCGGCUAACUACGUGCCAGCAGCCGCGGUAAGACGUAGGGGGCGAGCGUUGUCCGGAAUUACUGGGCGUAAAGCGCGUGUAGGCGGGCGUUUAAGUCGGGUGUGAAAACCCUGGGCUCAACCGAGGGAAUGCAUUCGAUACUGGGCGUCUUGAGGGCGGGAGAGGGAAGUGGAA
Molecule: ribosomal RNA, 600 nt
Filed under: uncultured bacterium
Lineage: Bacteria
Description: bacterial SSU rRNA
Rfam family: Bacterial small subunit ribosomal RNA
Source: RNAcentral